CCUACGGGAGACAGCAGUGAGGAAUAUUGGUCAAUGGGCGCUAGCCUGAACCAGCCAAGUAGCGUGAAGGAUGACUGCCCUAUGGGUUGUAAACUUCUUUUAUAUGGGAAUAAAGUGCAGUAUGUAUACUGCUUUGCAUGUACCUUAUGAAUAAGGAUCGGCUAACUCCGUGCCAGCAGCCGCGGUAAUACGGAGGAUCCGAGCGUUAUCCGGAUUUAUUGGGUUUAAAGGGAGCGUAGGCGGGUUGUUAAGUCAGUUGUGAAAGUUUGCGGCUCAACCGUAAAAUUGCAGUUGAUACUGGCAGCCUUGAGUACAGUAGAGGUAGGCGGAAUGCGUGGUGUAGCGGUGAAAUGCUUAGAUAUCACGAAGAACUCCGAUUGCGAAGGCAGCCUGCUGGACUGUAACUGACGCUGAUGAUCGAAAGUGUGGGUAUCAAACAGGAUUAGAUACCCUUGUAGUC
RNAcentral lists this ribosomal RNA (460 nucleotides) under uncultured bacterium. RNAcentral's name for it is "partial 16S ribosomal RNA". It matches the Rfam family "Bacterial small subunit ribosomal RNA", at positions 338 to 795 of the family's 1533-position model. The record is from RNAcentral.